RNAcentral lists this ribosomal RNA (439 nucleotides) under uncultured bacterium. RNAcentral describes it as "partial 16S ribosomal RNA". It matches the Rfam family "Bacterial small subunit ribosomal RNA", at positions 339 to 795 of the family's 1533-position model. The record is from RNAcentral.
CUACGGGAGGCUGCAGUGAGGAAUAUUGCACAAUGGGGGGAACCCUGAUGCAGCAACGCCGCGUGGAGGAUGACGCAUUUCGGUGUGUAAACUCCUUUUAUAUGUCAAGAAAAUGACGGUAGCAUAUGAAUAAGCACCGGCUAACUCCGUGCCAGCAGCCGCGGUAAUACGGAGGGUGCAAGCGUUACUCGGAAUCACUGGGCGUAAAGGGCGCGUAGGCGGGUUGGAAAGUCAGGUGUGAAAUCCUACAGCUUAACUGUAGAACUGCACUUGAAACUUCUAAUCUAGAGUAUGGGAGGGGGAGAUGGAAUUAGUGGUGUAGGGGUAAAAUCCGUAGAUAUCACUAGGAAUACCUAAAGCGAAGGCGAUCUACUGGAACAUUACUGACGCUAAGGCGUGAAAGCGUGGGGAGCAAACAGGAUUAGAUACCCCGGUAGUC